This 307-nucleotide ribosomal RNA is filed under the name uncultured bacterium. RNAcentral's name for it is "partial 16S ribosomal RNA". It matches the Rfam family "Bacterial small subunit ribosomal RNA", at positions 506 to 809 of the family's 1533-position model. The record is from RNAcentral.
AGACAGCAGUCGCCGCGGUAAUACGUAGGGGGCGAGCGUUGUCCGGAAUUACUGGGCGUAAAGGGCACGCAGGCUGUGAUUCAAGUCAGCUGUAAAAGGAUGCGGCUUAACCGUGUUUAGUAGUUGAAACUGGAUGACUGGAGUGCUGGAGAGGCGAGUGGAAUUCCCAGUGUAGCGGUGAAAUGCGUAGAUAUUGGGAAGAACAUCGGUGGCGAAGGCGACUUGCUGGCCAGUAACUGACGCUGAGGUGCGAAAGCCAGGGUAGCAAACGGGAUUAGAUACCCCUGUAGUCCCUGUCUCUUAUACA